Long non-coding RNA from Mus musculus (house mouse), 495 nucleotides. RefSeq annotates it as predicted gene, 38798. Lineage: Eukaryota; Metazoa; Chordata; Mammalia; Rodentia; Muridae. The record is from RefSeq and is a predicted model, not a curated record. The transcript is spliced from 3 exons.
ACAUAGGGUAGAAAGGGUUUAUUUGGGCAGGCAUUUCCAGGUUAUAGUCAUCAUCAUGAGCAAUUGCAGCGGGAGGUGCUUGGAGAAGCUGGCCACAUCACAUCUGUCGUCAAGAGCAGAGAGCAUGCCGGAGCUCAGGACCUCAGGGGGCACCCCAACUCCAUGAUUGCUGAAAUGUUGAGAGGCCUGAUCUUGUGAAAGUUUUGUGAAGAUGACUCACGGGUAUGCAGUGUUUCUCGGCAUACAGAACACAGAAUUAAACAUCCAGACUUUGAACACCAUGGGAAUGGCUGGAGUUUAUUCUGAGAGGAAGAAGGAACUAUUGGCCUACUAAGAGUUGAAUUAUGAGAUCUUACUUUAACUUCAAGAGAAUCUCUCAAAUGCUGCAGGACGAGUAGAGAAUUCUCCCUUUUGGGGAAGUAGAGGAAUGAAAUGAGACCAAUAAGGAGCUGUUUCAAAGUCCAAACCAAACCUAGUGAUGUUCUUCAUUAGAGA